UUGGAUUUGUGUGUUUACAAAUUACGAAUUGAAUUUAUGAAUUGGAUUUGGGCAUUUAUGAAUUGGAUUUGGGCAUUUAUUAAUAGCGUUUAGAAUUUACAAAUUAUAUUUUGUGAAUGUGAUUUGUGAAUGUAUUAUUUUUGAGACUGAUCUGGCUCCAUACUAUAGUUGUGGUGUUACCAUAACAACUGUAGAAUCACCACAACAGAUUAAAUCAAGUACUUUACUGUAGUAUGGUUCAAAAACACUACAGUAUUUACUUUAUAUUACUAUAGUUUUUUUUUACAUGUCUAUUGCUACAACUAGCACAUGAAUGUGGGUUUACAUGCUUUAUGUAUUAUAUAGAAACCAAAAAUAGUUUGUUUACUGCUAAAUAUGCCUGUGUAUACAAGUAUUUUGAGAGUGGACAAUGUGGGAGUGUCAGGGAGUGAAUUGGGAGGGGCUAAACAUCUAUUGGCCUCUUCAGCUCUCUGAUUGGAGAAAUUUCAGCACAGCAUCAUGGGUAGUGUAGUUUUUCGUCACAGAUCACAAACAAAUGUUUCUAACGGUAUUUAGAAAAGCAUUUACCAUCAGUUUACACCUUUAUAACUCACAAUAUAGUCAUGUCUCUAUCGGUUUACUGUAUGAAGCCUGAUUGUAGUUUUUAGGAGCAUUUUUAAUGCGCACAAUGGGUUUUAAAAGUCUUAUUUGCUUCACGAAUGUGUGUAGUUUGUGUUGUGGAACAAACCGUGCCAAAUGAAAUAUAAACACAGGCCGUAUUUGACUUCAAAACCACUUCAGAAACCCAUGUUAAAGUCCUUUGAGAACCACUCUCUCAAACCCGCUAAUUCUCUUCUGGGUUUUAGGACUACAACUGAUACAUGGCUACUGUAAACAGGUAAACAGCCUACAUGAGACCAGCGGAGAUGAUGGAAACAGUAUUUACAGCAUUCAGAUGAUGUAAUAACAGCACAGUGCAGUGGGCCCAAAGAACUAGAUGAUAUGUGCACAAAUCUUCAAUGGUUGUAAGAGACUUUAAGCAAACACUACCACAGUUCCCGGACACAGAAAUGGGCUGCCAAUGAAAACACAAGUGGCUUUCUUUUUGUAUUACUUUCGUGUGUGUUCACUGUAAUCUGGUUGCCAUUGUUAUUACCUGCAGUGUUUUAGUCAAUGUUUUCACACUGAAAAUAUAAAAAAAAGAACAUUUUGACAGCAA
Long non-coding RNA from Danio aesculapii, 1198 nucleotides. RefSeq lists it as uncharacterized. Lineage: Eukaryota; Metazoa; Chordata; Actinopteri; Cypriniformes; Danionidae. The transcript has 2 exons. The record is from RefSeq and is a predicted model, not a curated record.